Myzus persicae (green peach aphid) is the source of this 424-nucleotide long non-coding RNA. RefSeq lists it as uncharacterized. NCBI's taxonomy places the organism in Eukaryota, Metazoa, Arthropoda, Insecta, Hemiptera, Aphididae. The transcript has 2 exons. The record is from RefSeq and is a predicted model, not a curated record.
GCAGCUGCCAUUUCGAAUGUUCCGACAGUGUCCAUAUUGGAUGCCAUCAUCGGUAUACCCUGAUAAGUGCGCUUGGAGUUACGAAACGUAAUAUGUCGGAACAAGUCUACCUACAACAGAAAACAAAAUUGUAGUUUUUGUCACAUAGGAUUCUACGACAGAAAAAUUAUUGUCACAAUGUCACAUUCAACGGUUUAAAGAGGAGCAGAGGACAAGUCAGACAAGGACACUGCUGCUGUCAAUUGUCAUUAAUUGUUGUCAUCAGUCAUCACUUACCAUUACUAAUUACUUUAAAUACCUAUCUAAAUAGUAUAUAUUAUUGACUUUGUUCGAAUAUUUUUGUUAUUAAAAUAGUGCAUCACAGUUUCAGUACCUACCCAAACCCAACGUUAAUAAAUUAUCCGUGAAAUUAAAUAUUAUAAAA